This is a long non-coding RNA of Notolabrus celidotus (New Zealand spotty), 298 nucleotides long. RefSeq lists it as uncharacterized. The transcript has 3 exons. The record is from RefSeq and is a predicted model, not a curated record. NCBI's taxonomy places the organism in Eukaryota, Metazoa, Chordata, Actinopteri, Labriformes, Labridae.
GUUUGCUGAAUUCCAGCGAGUUGCCAGUAAGAACCUCAGGAAAUACUUCUAUGAAGCACUGGACCGCCACACCACUCGUCUAAUUGAGAUGUUCAGAUGAAAAUAAAAGAGUUGUAGGCCAGUCAAUUGAUCGCCUCCUCCAGCAAAUUAAUACACAAACCCAGAACAUCACCGCAACACACACUGCUGUCCUCCAAUGUCUGCCCCUGUAUCUUGGAGAUGUUUCCAGUGAGUUCUUCCUCAGAUGCUCAGAUUCAGACACAGCAGCUGACUUCACCCAGGUACCUGUUGGGGUACU